Molecule: ribosomal RNA, 254 nt
Filed under: uncultured bacterium
Lineage: Bacteria
Description: partial 16S ribosomal RNA
Rfam family: Bacterial small subunit ribosomal RNA
Source: RNAcentral
UACGUAGGGCGCAAGCGUUGUCCGGAAUUAUUGGGCGUAAAGAGCUCGUAGGCGGCCUGUUGCGUCGACUGUGAAAACCCGUGGCUCAACCAUGUGGUCUGCAGUCGAUACGGGCAGGCUAGAAUUCGGUAGGGGAGACUGGAAUUCCUGGUGUAGCGGUGAAAUGCGCAGAUAUCAGGAGGAACACCGGUGGCGAAGGCGGGUCUCUGGGCCGAUAUUGACGCUGAGGAGCGAAAGCGUGGGGAGCGAACAGG